RNAcentral lists this non-coding RNA (736 nucleotides) under Allothyrus sp. LamingtonNP-QMS95173. The record is from RNAcentral. Lineage: Eukaryota; Metazoa; Arthropoda; Arachnida; Holothyrida; Allothyridae.
AUUUAAUUAUAGUAAAUUAUAUUAACAUUUUGAAUAUUUUUUAUAAUAUAAUUAUAUAUGAAUAUUUACAUAAAUAUUAGAAGAAAAAAUUUUUAUAUUUAUUAAUAUAAAUAGAGAUGUUUUAAUACCCAAAAAGUUUGGCCAAAUUUGUGCCAGCCGCCGCGGUUAUACAGAUGAGCUAAGUUAAUAAAAUAUAAUAAAAAUUAUUAAAGUAAUUUUUUAUGAGUUAAAUAGUAAAAAAGGUGAAAUUUAAUUUAAUUUUUUAUAAAUUAUUAUAAUUUUAUAUAAAUUAGUUAAUAAACUAGGAUUAGAAACCCUAUUAUAUAGAUAUGAAUAUUGAUAGUAAGUAAAAAUUAAGAAAUCAAAAGAAUUUGGCGGUAUUUUAAGCUUAUUAGAGGAAUUUGUUAUAUAAUGGAUAAAACACCUAUAUUUUACUUAAAUUUGUAAAUACAAUUUGUAUAUCACUAUUAUAAGAUGAUAUUUUAUAAUUAUUUUUAAGAUAAAAUUAUUUUAAAAUAUUAAGUCAAGAUGCAAUAAAAAUUUAUGGAAUAAAUGAAUUACAUGGAUUAUAAUUAUUAAAAUUAUUAAUGAAAUAUUAAAUAUUAUAUAGGAUUUAAUAGUAAAUUUAAUAUAAUAUCUUAAAUUGAAUGUAGCUCUAAAAUAUGCACAUAUUGCCCGUCACUCUCAGAAUAAUGAGAAAAGUCGUAACAAAGUAAAAAUACUAGAAAGUAUUUUU